UACGUAGGUUGGCAGUGGCACUUUUCUAGUGAGUUCCGUUUUUCCCGUUGUCGCCCCUUUGGGCCCUUAGAGCUACAUAAAUCGAGUUGUACAUACUCUCCCUAUAAAGGUACUCUAUAGCCAUUUCCACUGUGUGACACCUGCUUCCAGUACACCACUGACCAAUGCGGCCGCCGAAUAAUAGAUUGACGUAUGAGGUCAGGUUCAUUCAUGCAACGUAACUGUUUCCCGAGACCGGUCAACGUACUGCCCUUUCAUCAAUAACCGCGUAUCAACUUAGAUAAACCCAUGCAUAUACGCGGUUCUUCGGCAAGUGCUGCGGCGUGAGCUUUUCAUUUUCCACCUCUCGAUAGUUUUACGGUGCUUCGUCCUUGCCCCUCCCCUUCGGUAGCCUGGCUGAAGUAUGACCUUCGCGCGGAUAUCAUCCAUUUCCAAUCUUCAUUUUUUUCUUUAUGAUGAGGAAUAAUAAGCUGUGUUUUUCCCCCUCCUUCCCGCUCGCGCGCAAUUUUGGGUGGGCUCCUCGCGGUAUAAAUACGAGCUCAAACUUACCCUUAAUCAUAAACUCUUUAGUCGCAGAACUAAUAGCUUCUAGUUUCUCACGCAGCAACAAACCCUCACCUCCUUCACCAUGUACAAGCUGUUGAUCGUCGCUCUGGCUCUUAUCGCCGCCGUCGCCGCCUCCCCUUCGCCUACAGCUACGCUUCCCCUUACGGAUACGCCGCCGCCCCCUACGCUGGUUACGGAUACGCCGCCACCCCCUACGCCGCAUACGCUGGUUACGGAUACGCUCGUUCCGGUUACUACGGUUACCCCGGCUACUCAGCAUACAGUGCCUACCCCUACGGAGCCUACGGAGCCUACGGAGCCUACCCCUACUACAAGAAGUAAAUGAUCCUCCCACGAACUCAAUAGCCGUCAACUCCGAUGCCUUUGAAAAAAGCCUGCCAGAGUCAAGACUGUGCAUUCAAAAUGCGAAUUGUCCUCAACAUUUUCGAUUCCAAACAGAUUUUCUAAAAUUUUCUAAAAAAUUUGAAAGCGAUUUCAAUUUUUGUGCUCAUCUUUUUCUCCAAUAAAUUCAACCUUCACCAUUCAAAAUUUGUAAUUUUUUUUUCAAGACAUACAAUUGUUCUUACCUAUUUAACCUACUUCUGGAAAAAACUUGAAAAUUGUUUAACUUCAUGAUCCGAAGAGAGAAAAAUUCCUCUUUACCCACUGAGACAUUGAGUCGCAUCCAGUGGCGUGGCGUGAAAUGCGAUGUAUCGAUUCUUAUGCCAUUUAAACCUAUGGAAAAGGAUCGAUAAACAGGGUGUUCGCAGUGAACGCCUUAAUAAUCGAUUCUAUACCAUGGGUUUAAAUGGCAUAACAAUCGAUACAUCGCAAUUCACGCCACGCCACUGGUCGCAUCCCCUGAUUAAAAAAUAAAUUAAAACUAUUGUUCCAUUCACUCUCUCAUAUCACUCCAAUUCCACCCAUUGAGUUCAUUUUUAGACAUUUUGAAAAAUUUGUUCAAGUUUAUUUAAAAUCUAUUGACAAAAACACAAGUUAACUUAUUCAAAAAAAAACACAAAAAAAAAUUGAAAAAAAUCCGUUUAUAUAAAAUCUGUAGGAAUGGUCUCGAACAGGGUAAAUAUAUAGGGCAUGAUAAAUUAUUAUCAACAGUCAAAAGUAGAAGGGUUGCAACCGUUCUUCCAAAUGCCUCUGGUCUCCUUUUUCCUUUUAUUCUUAUUACUCUAAAUACCAUUCUUUUACAGAGAGACGCUUUUGCAUGAAACGUGAGAAGAUGUGAAAUUACACUAUUCAACUUUCAGCCAUAAAGAGAGCGUGGUUUCUUAUCCGGAAAUGAAAAAUAGGUUGUCUUUGAAUAGUUUAUCGAUGUAUGAAAAAAUAAACAAAUAAACCUUAAAUAAAUAAACAAAAAACUCAACGUCGAAUACGUCGUUGAGCCAUAACCUGGAGAAUGUAAUGAAACUGUAAGAUUAAUGAAUACGAGAUAACUAAAAAAAUAACGGAUUUUCAUCAACACCAAGAGACUCACAGAAGACCCUCAAAAUUUCCGUAGAAUAUGAUACACUGCAAUUAUAAUUGUUUCCAUCACACUGAAAUCAAUAGUCUGUUCCAAAGUAAAUAUGAUGUCCAAGCGUUAUUUUCAAUCCAAUUUACGUUACAGGCGUCCGUUCCAUUACGGCAAGGAAGAAAAUUCUGAUUUGAAAAUAUAUCUAAUGGACGUAUUUCUGCCAAACGGAACUAUGUGCAUUAAGACACGAGCCCUGAGACCCAUAAGAAUAUAAGCGUAACGGGGCUUACGUCAUAAUGUACAUAGUUCCGUUUGACAGAAAUACGUCCUAAUGUGACUCCAGGGUUCGUGGUAACUCAUUCAUUUGAGUACAUCGUGGUCGUUUCGAUAUGAAAGACGAAUCAUCGAUAUCAAUAAUAAUCUUAUGGCAUUUUUAUCUACCUGUUUUUGCCUUAAUAUUUAAAUAUUCCCUUCAAAAUUUGAUCAAUUACUUUUAAGACAUUUUUUCUACUUCUUUUGAAUUAGAUUGUGCUAGUGAGUUGGAAAAGUACUUACUAAAGUCCGGUGUUCUUUUUCAGUCAUCAGAGCAACGGUUCGUGAAAUUUUUUCAUUGUUUCUGAUAAAACCAUAAUGAUUUCUGAAAAAUUGAGGUAUACACUUUCUAUUUUAAUUGUUACCCCAUCCGAACAUACCUAAUUUCACUCCUUAUCUUUACAAAGUUUCACUCACAUUUGCAUACACUCAAAAUUCUUUCAAAUGAUCAAAAGUAUUGGCCAAUUUAUUUAGGGCCCUUGCUUUUCCAAAAGUAAAUAUUAGUUCACAGUGUACCGUCAUGUGUUAUUGCACCACCUUUUUUCCUCCAUUUAAAUAUACGUAAAACAAUCGAUUCUUUGUGAGGCAGCUUGUCUGACUUAAAAUCGAUAUUUUUAAUGGAUUUAAAUUGAGGCACAAAAGUGUUGCCAACUUGAAAAAUCGCCAGUGUGUCGUGUUGUGCUUAAGAAGAACACCGAACAAGCUUCUCAAUGUUGCAGAAUUUGCUCCUAUGAAAGUGGGGAAUAUCUCUCAUUUUUUUUUUCAAUAAACAAUUAUUUUAUUUGAUUUGUUCACAAGGUGGAAUGAAACAAAACAGUGUUUCACCCAAAGGCCUGUGUGUACAUUUUAAAUUUAAAGAUCCUGAGUACAUUUUAAAGUUAAUUCCCCCCUGUCCCAUAGAAGCUUAUUGUCUAACUUAAAAUUAAUUUGGGUUGUUGGAGAUCCUCUGUCUCCUUUCGUUUUCAGGUGAGUUUGUUUUCCCCGGUAUUGCCUAGGUGCGGCGUGUCUUCGGGGGAGGAAGGAGGUUGAUAACUGUCUUCUUCUUCAUCUUGUUUCAGCACAUGUUGUUUAUCUUGUAGAACUUCUUUAAUGAACGUGU
RNAcentral lists this long non-coding RNA (3425 nucleotides) under Bemisia tabaci. RNAcentral's name for it is "lncRNA ENSSSA2NGG013460". Lineage: Eukaryota; Metazoa; Arthropoda; Insecta; Hemiptera; Aleyrodidae. The record is from RNAcentral.